Vidua macroura (Pin-tailed whydah) is the source of this 1275-nucleotide long non-coding RNA. RefSeq lists it as uncharacterized. Lineage: Eukaryota; Metazoa; Chordata; Aves; Passeriformes; Viduidae. The transcript has 2 exons. The record is from RefSeq and is a predicted model, not a curated record.
GUCACGGGGACUGGCGACGUGCCACUCUUUGUAGAAGUCGUCCCUUGGACUUUCUAUUAGACACUCCUUGCAAGAAAGUGUCAUUAGUUGUUUUGGCACCCUCCAGUCUUGGCUGGUGCAUCUUGCUCAGUUCUUUCCAAUUCUCAGUAUUUAUUCACAUGAUGGUGACAUUUAGAUCCUUUCUACCACACCUUGUUUCCAAGCCUAAUCUAAACACAGCGCUUGGGGCAGGCAAAGUCUAAAGGAUUUGACAUAACCUUUGUAAAUAAUGUUCUCUUAUUCCUGAACAGUUUUCACAGAGGCUAAAUUCUAUUUUUGCAGCAUUCAAGCGCUGUGGGGAUUCACGCCCGUGGUCACCGAUGCUGGGACGCGCUGUGUCCCAGCAGCCCUGCCGUGGAAGGGGCAGUGGUUGGAACAGCUCUGGAACAGCUCUGGAACAGCUCUGCUCAAUAUGUGACCUGUGUGCUUUGUGGGUGCAGCCCUGGUAGCUGAGUGUGCCCAGGUGUGUCAGGGCUGCUGCUCUGCAGGCCCCACCUGACUCCACCAGGUGCACCUCCAAAGCCCUGGGCUCCUGUGCAGGUCGGCCUGGGGGUGCAGCAGGAAUUUCAUCUCCCAUCACAGCCCGGGGCUGGGCUUUGGUCCCCUCUGUUCCCUGCCCAGGUAACCCUUGCCUCGUGGCAGACUCUGGGCCCUGGUUCCCCAGAGCAGUGCUGCAGCCCCUGGAAACGCUGAGCAAGAUCUCUGAGUGCUUCCAGCCUCUUCUUCUGGGGCUUGUGUCUCCACGGCUGCUUAGCCCAUCCUUUGGAAACUGAAUAACUGAGCUCCCUUGGGAGCUUUUAAGCCAUUUCUGCACUGUUCUUGCUGUUCCUUCCUCUGUCCAUCUGAUUCCCCCUCCUCGAAGGACUCUGGGAGCAGAGCCACCACAUCAGCAGCUUGGUCUGAGCCAGCCAAAAUCAGUCACGGGCUGGCAAAGUUCUCUUCAAAAGCAGCUGUAAGAAUUGCUGGAAGGCCACAGUGUCACUGCAGAAAUAUUUUAUGUUCUUGAUCUGUGCUCAGGUUUUGGGUAUGAUGGGGGCUCACCUUCAUCACUUCUGUAGCAAACCCACAUCUGAAUUAUUCACAUUACACUUACUCCCAGCAUGCCAGUAGCCAAUUUUAUAAAGACUGUAAUGUUGGUUUAAAUCCUAUCUAUUGAAUCCCAGCUCACUGCUGGAUUGUGGUGUGUGUUGUUUUUUUCAGUGACAGAAUAAAACUGCUCUCCAUUUUUAAGUUCUA